UGAGGAAUAUUGCGCAAUGGAGGCAACUCUGACGCAGCCAUGCCGCGUGCAGGAAGACGGUCCUAUGGAUUGUAAACUGCUUUUAUACGGGAAUAAUUCCUGGUACGUGUACCGGGUUGAAUGUACCGUAAGAAUAAGCAUCGGCUAACUCCGUGCCAGCAGCCGCGGUAAUACGGAGGAUGCAAGCGUUAUCCGGAUUUAUUGGGUUUAAAGGGUGCGUAGGCGGAAUUGUAAGUCAGUGGUGAAAUCUUGCAGCUUAACUGUAAAAUAGCCAUUGAUACUGCCAUUCUUGGAGUACAAUUGAGGUAGGCGGAAUGUGUAAUGUAGCGGUGAAAUGCUUAGAUAUUACACAGAACACCGAUUGCGUAGGCAGCUUACUAAGUUGUAACUGACGCUGAUGCACGAAAGCGUGGGUAGCGAACAGGAUUAGAUACCCUGGUAGUCCACGCUGUAAACGAUGAUCACUCGUUGUUGGCG
Molecule: ribosomal RNA, 477 nt
Filed under: uncultured Bacteroidota bacterium
Lineage: Bacteria; Pseudomonadati; Bacteroidota
Description: bacterial SSU rRNA
Rfam family: Bacterial small subunit ribosomal RNA
Source: RNAcentral